Molecule: ribosomal RNA, 287 nt
Filed under: uncultured bacterium
Lineage: Bacteria
Description: partial 16S ribosomal RNA
Rfam family: Bacterial small subunit ribosomal RNA
Source: RNAcentral
GUGGAUUAGAUACCCUGGUAGUCCAUGCCGUAAACGGUGGGCGCUAGGUGUAGGGGUCUUCCACGACUUCUGUGCCGCAGCUAACGCAUUAAGCGCCCCGCCUGGGGAGUACGGCCGCAAGGCUAAAACUCAAAGGAAUUGACGGGGGCCCGCACAAGCGGCGGAGCAUGUGGAUUAAUUCGAUGCAACGCGAAGAACCUUACCUGGGCUUGACAUGGACCGGAUCGGCGUAGAGAUACGUUUUCCCUUGUGGUCGGUUCACAGGUGGUGCAUGGUUGUCGACAGCU